Molecule: ribosomal RNA, 507 nt
Filed under: uncultured bacterium
Lineage: Bacteria
Description: partial 16S ribosomal RNA
Source: RNAcentral
GGAGUUAGCCGGUGCUUCUUCUGUGAGUGAUGUCCUUCCUGCCGGCUAUUAACCCGCAGGCCUUCUUCCUCACUGAAAGUGCUUUACAACCCGAAGGCCUUCUUCACACACGCGGUAUGGCUGGAUCAGGGUUGCCCCCAUUGUCCAAUAUUCCCCACUGCUGCCUCCCGUAGGAGUCUGGGCCGUGUCUCAGUCCCAGUGUGGCUGAUCAUCCUCUCAGACCAGCUACGGAUCGUCGCCUUGGUGAGCCGUUACCUCACCAACCAGCUAAUCCGACAUAGGCUCAUCCGAUAGCGCGAGGCCCGAAGGUCCCCCGCUUUCCCCCGUAGGGCGUAUGCGGUAUUAGCCUGGGUUUCCCCAGGUUAUCCCCCACUACCGGGCAGAUUCCUAUGCAUUACUCACCCGUCCGCCGCUCGCCACCAGGGAGCAAGCUCCCCGUGCUGCCGCUCGACUUGCAUGUGUUAGGCCUGCCGCCAGCGUUCAAUCUGAGCCAGGAUCAAACUCUGA